This 1359-nucleotide long non-coding RNA is filed under the name Marmota monax (woodchuck). The record is from RNAcentral. Lineage: Eukaryota; Metazoa; Chordata; Mammalia; Rodentia; Sciuridae.
GGCAGCAUCCCUGGUAGGAGGUUUGCUGCAGAAUCUCCUCUUCUGGAGGCAGAUGGAACCCUGGGUGGCCUGUGACCAGGUGGCUUUAUUUAGACCAGUGCUGUCCAGCGCAGAGGAGGCCAGGUAGGUGGCUGAGUCCUUGUUUCUGGUCCGGCAGGCCACUGUUACAGCAUAUAGCAUUGCUGCCGGGCCCCAGCACCUGGGCAGCCUUCUGGGGCUUCCUCUCUACUCUGUUUUAUGACAGCCUGGGAGUCUGUCUUCAGCACAGGAACAGCAGCUGCUCUGGGCAGGGCCUCUCUGCUCUCCCCCAGCCUGGACGCAUGGCAGCAUCUGGGGAGGCUCGGUGGUCACAAUGGUGUAGGGAGGAGUGUGCUGGUGACCCCUCCUGGGUGCAGAGUGACGUAACUAGCGCCAGGUGGGGCAGCCACCCUAUCAGCACAGGAGGGCAGAGGGUUAUUAGUUCCUUGGCGAAGGCUGGGACAUUGCAGGUUCACUGAUGUGGCCUUGCACCACAGGUCUCUUCAUGGGAAAGUAGUGAGAUACUGCGCAGCCAGGACGGUCGAGUUUCAGUGAGCAUGCCCCAGGGCUCUUACCAGUACGACAGAGCUGGUCAGUGUAAACCUGCCAGUUUCAUGUCUACCUGUCUGUAGUGUGUCCAGCAAGGGAGGAAGCACUCUGGAGAAGCUGAGAAAAUAGGAAGAGAGAAAUCUGUCAAAUUCCUGUUUAUUGAGAAAUAUCAUGUUUAAGAAAUUUACACCAAGUCUAUGCUUCGUGAAUUUUCAAGAGUUUCUUUUAAGUUUAGAGAAGGGAAAUGGCCAUCAGCAGAAGGCCUUCCUGUUCUGGACUCUAACAGUGAACAGCAAGGGCUGCAGAUGUUGUAACUGGGAGUACUGAGUGGGAACAGUGUUAGCAGAAGGUGACUUCGUGUCCUCCCAGCCUGAUAAGAGACUUGCACCUCCACACCUGGCCCUCAGAGUGCCCUCCCCAGGUGGCCUGGGAGUCAGGUUGCCCAAGGACAUCGUGGCCUUAAGCAGGACUUGGCUGUUACAGCUCGAGCCUGGCAGACAUAAGCAUGUCCCUGGGGCGUGCUCUGGGGAUGCAGGGGAACAGCGGCUGCAUUCUCAAGCAGACCUGGUUUUCACGCAUCAGUCAUCAGGGGCUUAAGGGCCCUGCGCACCCUCUGAGGAAGCCUGCUUCCUUCUAACCACGGACCAGUUUUCCUCCCUGUAGUGCGCUGGGAUAGGCCACCCCUGUCAGUAAGUGGCACCCUAGCUUCCCCGACACCUUCACCUUGCCUUGACUGCACGGGAGAGCUCUUGUUAUAUUUCUCUUUCUUCUUGUGGUUUAGCGUAAAAGCAG